RNAcentral lists this ribosomal RNA (328 nucleotides) under Zosperamerus sp. PKF-2004. RNAcentral describes it as "partial 12S ribosomal RNA". The record is from RNAcentral. Lineage: Eukaryota; Metazoa; Arthropoda; Insecta; Orthoptera; Acrididae.
AAUAUUAGUUAAGUACUUUAAACCCAAAGAAUUUGGCGGUACCUUAUUCCUUUCAGAGGAACCUACCCCGUAAUUGAUAAUACACGAUUAACUUUACUUAAUUUAUUUGUUUGUAUAUCUCCGUUAUCAGAAGAUCUUUUUAGAGUUAGAAUUUUCUUGAUUUAUUAUUAUAAAAUAUUUCAGGUCAAGGUGCAGCUUAUAAUUAAGGGGAGGUGGGUUACAAUAGAUUUUAUUUAAAAUGGAUUUUUUAAUGAAUAAUUUUUAAUGAAGGUGGAUUUGAUAGUAAUUUAAUUUAUUUAAUUUUAUUGAUAUUGGCUCUAAGGUGUGU